Molecule: long non-coding RNA, 1186 nt
Filed under: Durio zibethinus
Lineage: Eukaryota; Viridiplantae; Streptophyta; Magnoliopsida; Malvales; Malvaceae
Description: long non-coding RNA (DZIB_LNC001484)
Source: RNAcentral
UACACAGCAGCUGUUGCUCCAACCCUUCCGUUUGCAUUAACCCUUGUUUUCAGCAGUCGAUGGACACGACCCACUGGGAACUACAUUGAGAAUAUACAAAACAAUAAGAAGAUGGACACGACCCACUGGGAACUACAUUGAGAAUAUACAAAACAAUAAGAAGCAACUGAUUAUAAUUUAGAAGAAUUAACUGUUGUUCUACAGGAGUGCAAAGUAGAAUAGCAUAGUCAGUUUAUCAUGUGUCCUACAGAUGAUGAUGCUAAUAUGCCUUGACCACGUAUAGAACUGCAAAACAAUUUAGGAUGCAGAAUACAGUCUUAAUAGACAUCCACGUCGUGUUCUUCAUCAACUUGGUCAUCUUCCAAAUUGCAAAGAUUUUACAUAACAAAAUUUUAAUUUAAAUAUGUCCACAGAAUGAAGCAUCAUGUAGGUUUAACAGGAAAAGUGCUAGCAAGUCACAUGAGGAUAAAUUUCAAUUCAACCAUUAGAUCUAUAAAAAAAGAGAAAAUAAACGGAUAGUUAAUAAUUACAACAAUUAAAAGAGAUAAAUACUGCUAGAUAUCAAUUCCUUAUUAAAACAACAUAUCCCGAAAUGUUGUCAUUUGACUUGGAGCAAGAGUUACUAUCCAGCUCUUCUCAUAGACCAUAUUUCUGACUCUCAACCCUCCUCCCCAAAACCUUCCCCAGCUCCUUGGAACAAGAAAAUUACAUACAAACCUUAGAUGCUAUGAAAAUUAAUACAUUAGAUGAAAAGGCAGAACCAGAUUUAUCAACAGGAACAUAUUGCCCCCACUCUACACCCCACCUUUUCCCCCUUGGUUUUUCGCCCUCAUCAUGGAAAUAGCAAUUAAUAAGGCAGAAUUCUAGACCAUAGUUGUUCAUAGAACACCUAAGUGUCCCCUUUGCAACAACUAAUAUCAUGAAACAUAUAAAUCCUCUGAUAAAUGAAAGAUAACCAACAAAGAGCACAAUUGUUCAUAUCAACAAUUCAAACAUCGGGAGAGACAAGGACUACCUAAUGUGGCAUCCCUUGCAACAAAGCUACAAGGUUCAUUUAUAAGGACGAUUUACCAUUGGAAAAAAAUAAGGACAACCAAUGCGAAAUUGUUCAUAAAUACAAUUUUUUUACUUUAACAUAGCAAAACUUUGUUUACUUUGAUUUGAUGUAAUAAAUAGACAAAUCCAC